This 193-nucleotide long non-coding RNA is filed under the name dengue virus type 1. RNAcentral describes it as "Dengue virus 1 partial sfRNA1". The record is from RNAcentral. Lineage: Riboviria; Orthornavirae; Kitrinoviricota; Flasuviricetes; Amarillovirales; Flaviviridae.
AAGAAGUCAGGCCGGAUUAAGCCAUAGUACGGUAAGAGCUAUGCUGCCUGUGAGCCCCGUCUAAGGACGUAAAAUGAAGUCAGGCCGAAAGCCACGGUUUGAGCAAACCGUGCUGCCUGUAGCUCCAUCGUGGGGAUGUAAAAACCUGGGAGGCUGCAACCCAUGGAAGCUGUACGCAUGGGGUAGCAGACUA